AUCACUUGGGGAUCUUGUUAAGAUGCAGAUUCUGAUUCAGUAGGCCUGGGGUGGAGCCUGGGAAUCUGCAUUUCUAACAAGCUCCCAGGCAAUUCUGC
Molecule: microRNA precursor, 98 nt
Filed under: Loxodonta africana (African savanna elephant)
Lineage: Eukaryota; Metazoa; Chordata; Mammalia; Proboscidea; Elephantidae
Description: mir-544 microRNA precursor family
Rfam family: mir-544 microRNA precursor family
Source: Rfam by way of RNAcentral